Small nuclear RNA from Sarcophilus harrisii (Tasmanian devil), 103 nucleotides. The record is from Ensembl. Lineage: Eukaryota; Metazoa; Chordata; Mammalia; Dasyuromorphia; Dasyuridae.
GUGCUUCCUUUGCAUCACAUAUGCUAAAAUUGGAAUGAUACCAAGAUUAGUAUGGCCCUUGUGCAAGAAUAAAAUGCAAAUUCAUAAAACAAUACAUAUUUUU